CCUACGGGGUGCUGCAGUGGGGAAUAUUGCACAAUGGGGGAAACCCUGAUGCAGCGACGCCGCGUGAGUGAAGAAGUAUUUCGGUAUGUAAAGCUCUAUCAGCAGGGAAGAAAAUGACGGUACCUGAUUAAGAAGCCCCGGCUAACUACGUGCCAGCAGCCGCGGUAAUACGUAGGGGGCAAGCGUUAUCCGGAUUUACUGGGUGUAAGGGGAGCGUAGACGGCAGCACAAGUCUGGAGUGAAAUGCCGGGGCUUAACCACGGAACUGCUGUGGAAACUGUGCAGCUAGAGUGCAGGAGAGGUAAGUGGAAUGCGUGGUGUAGCGGUGAAAUGCGUAGAUAUUAGGAGGAAC
Molecule: ribosomal RNA, 352 nt
Filed under: uncultured bacterium
Lineage: Bacteria
Description: partial 16S ribosomal RNA
Rfam family: Bacterial small subunit ribosomal RNA
Source: RNAcentral